UACGGGGAGGGUAAGCGUUGUUCGGAAUUACUGGGCGUAAAGGGCUCGUAGGCGGCCAACUAAGUCAUACGUGAAAUCCCUCAGCUUAACUGGGGAACUGCGUGUGACACUGGAUGGCUUGGAUUUGGGAGAGGGAUGCGGAAUUCCAGGUGUAGCGGUGAAAUGCGUAGAUAUCUGGAGGAACACCGGUGGCGAAGGCGGCAUCCUGGACCGGCAUUGACGCUGAGGCGCGAAAGCCAGGGGAGCAAACGGG
Molecule: ribosomal RNA, 253 nt
Filed under: uncultured bacterium
Lineage: Bacteria
Description: partial 16S ribosomal RNA
Rfam family: Bacterial small subunit ribosomal RNA
Source: RNAcentral